This 77-nucleotide transfer RNA is filed under the name Hyphomicrobiales bacterium. RNAcentral describes it as "tRNA-Arg". It matches the Rfam family "tRNA". Rfam says of the family: Transfer RNA (tRNA) molecules are approximately 80 nucleotides in length. Their secondary structure includes four short double-helical elements and three loops (D, anti-codon, and T loops). The record is from RNAcentral. Lineage: Bacteria; Pseudomonadati; Pseudomonadota; Alphaproteobacteria; Hyphomicrobiales. RNAcentral also lists the same sequence under 2 other names.
GAUCGCGUAACUCAGUUGGAUAGAGUGCCAGAUUCCUAAUCUGGAAGUCGGUGGUUCAAAUCCACCCGUGAUCACCA